RNAcentral lists this ribosomal RNA (492 nucleotides) under uncultured bacterium. Its description in RNAcentral is "partial 16S ribosomal RNA". It matches the Rfam family "Bacterial small subunit ribosomal RNA", at positions 29 to 507 of the family's 1533-position model. The record is from RNAcentral.
AGUGAACGCUGGCGGUAGGCCUAACACAUGCAAGUCGAACGGCAGCACAGUAAGAGCUUGUUCUUACGGGUGGCGAGUGGCGGACGGGUGAGGAAUACAUCGGAAUCUACUUUUUCGUGGGGGAUAACGUAGGGAAACUUACGCUAAUACCGCAUACGACCUACGGGUGAAAGCAGGGGAUCUUCGGACCUUGCGCGAUUGAAUGAGCCGAUGUCGGAUUAGCUAGUUGGCGGGGUAAAGGCCCACCAAGGCGACGAUCCGUAGCUGGUCUGAGAGGAUGAUCAGCCACACUGGAACUGAGACACGGUCCAGACUCCUACGGGAGGCAGCAGUGGGGAAUAUUGGACAAUGGGCGCAAGCCUGAUCCAGCCAUACCGCGUGGGUGAAGAAGGCCUUCGGGUUGUAAAGCCCUUUUGUUGGGAAAGAAAAGCAGCAGGUUAAUACCCCGCUGUUCUGACGGUACCCAAAGAAUAAGCAUCGGCUAACUUCGUG